Molecule: ribosomal RNA, 558 nt
Filed under: uncultured cyanobacterium
Lineage: Bacteria; Bacillati; Cyanobacteriota
Description: bacterial SSU rRNA
Rfam family: Bacterial small subunit ribosomal RNA
Source: RNAcentral
UGUGCCGAGAGGUGAAAGUAAUUCGCCUGAAGAGGAGCUCGCGUCUGAUUAGCUAGUUGGUGGAGUAAAAGCCUACCAAGGCGACGAUCAGUAGCUGGUCUGAGAGGAUGAGCAGCCACACUGGGACUGAGACACGGCCCAGACUCCUACGGGAGGCAGCAGUGGGGAAUUUUCCGCAAUGGGCGAAAGCCUGACGGAGCAAUACCGCGUGAGGGAGGAAGGUUCAAGUAUUGUAAACCUCUUUUAUCAGGGAAGAAAAAUGACGGUACCUGAUGAAAAAGCAUCGGCUAACUCCGUGCCAGCAGCCGCGGUAAUACGGAGGAUGCAAGCGUUAUCCGGAAUUAUUGGGCGUAAAGCGUCCGCAGGUGGUAGUACAAGUCUGCUGUCAAAGACCAGAGCUUAACUCUGGGCAGGCGGUGGAAACUGUAAUACUAGAGACCGGUAGGGGUAGAGGGAAUUCCCAGUGUAGCGGUGAAAUGCGUAGAGAUUGGGAAGAACACCAGUGGCGAAGGCGCUCUACUGGGCCGGAACUGACACUAAGGGACGAAAGCUAGGGGA